RNAcentral lists this ribosomal RNA (253 nucleotides) under uncultured bacterium. RNAcentral describes it as "partial 16S ribosomal RNA". It matches the Rfam family "Bacterial small subunit ribosomal RNA", at positions 524 to 776 of the family's 1533-position model. The record is from RNAcentral.
GACAGAGGUCCCGAGCGUUAGGCGGAAUCACUGGGCUUAAAGCGUGUGUAGGCGGAUUUGUAAGUACCUUGUGAAAUCCCACAGCUUAACUGUGGAACUGCUUGGUAUAUUGCUUAUCUUGGGCCACUUAGGGGUUACCGGAACAAACGGUGGAGCGGUGAAAUGCGUAGAUAUCGUUUGGAACGCCAAUGGUGAAAACAGGUAACUGGGAGUGUGCCGACGCUGAGACACGAAAGCCAGGGGAGCGAACGGG